GGGCGUUAAGUUGCAGGGUAUAGACCCGAAACCCGGUGAUCUAGCCAUGGGCAGGUUGAAGGUUGGGUAACACUAACUGGAGGACCGAACCGACUAAUGUUGAAAAAUUAGCGGAUGACCUGUGGCUGGGGGUGAAAGGCCAAUCAAACCGGGAGAUAGCUGGUUCUCCCCGAAAGCUAUUUAGGUAGCGCCUCGUGAACUCAUCUUCGGGGGUAGAGCACUGUUUCGGCUAGGGGGCCAUCCCGGCUUACCAACCCGAUGCAAACUACGAAUACCGAAGAAUGUUAUCACGGGAGACACACGGCGGGUGCUAACGUCCGUCGUGAAGAGGGAAACAACCCAGACCGCCAGCUAAGGUCCCAAAGUCAUGGUUAAGUGGGAAACGAUGUGGGAAGGCCCAGACAGCCAGGAUGUUGGCUUAGAAGCAGCCAUCAUUUAAAGAAAGCGUAAUAGCUCACUGGUCGAGUCGGCCUGCGCGGAAGAUGUAACGGGGCUAAACCAUG
This 503-nucleotide ribosomal RNA is filed under the name Enterobacter cloacae. Its description in RNAcentral is "partial 23S ribosomal RNA". It matches the Rfam family "Bacterial large subunit ribosomal RNA", at positions 690 to 1191 of the family's 2925-position model. Lineage: Bacteria; Pseudomonadati; Pseudomonadota; Gammaproteobacteria; Enterobacterales; Enterobacteriaceae. The record is from RNAcentral.